CUUUCUUUUCCUUUCUUUAUAACACACACACAUAUUUUGAUAAGGUAGAAAAAAAAACAGAAUGGAGAGAGAGAGAGAGUGGGACCGGAAAUAAAAAUGGAAAAAAGAGAACGGGAGGGGACGACAAUAGGCGGUUUUCCUAUUUUCUUCUUCUACAACACACUCACACAGACACGGAUAUAGAGUGGAGGAGCUGGACGAAAAAGGGAUCGAGGGGGUAAGAAGCUUAGAACAAAAUUUUAGAGAAGGUUUUGAGCAGAAAUUCUGAGAAAAGAAAAAAAUCAAAAAAUACAUAUUCCAGUUAAGAAUUCUUAGGACAAAAUUUUAGAGAAUUUAUUUUUAAUAGGGAAUUUCUUCUAUUUUUUUUUUUUUUUUGGGUAAGUUUCCGCUGAUACAAAAAAGGGUGAGGAAGUUUCAGUAUUUUUUCGUAUUUCAAAAAUAUAAAAAAAUAUUGUGUUUCUUCUUCUGGGUUCCUGUUUUGAGAUGGAGAUUUGUUCAAGCCAAGUUUAAUUUGUCAGUCGAGGUUCGGGGUCCCAGUUCCCAUUGCUGAAUUCAUAGUUAUUUUCUGAGCACUUGAUUGUUGUAUCCGCACGUCUCAUUUCUAGAACAUUAAAAUUGACUAAAGUUUUAUACACUCAGUUCGAUUUCAGUUCUAUGGCUAGACUUCUCAUUAUAUAUUCUCGUUGAUGUUCGAGGUGUCGAUUUCAGUUCUGUUGGUUGGUUCAGUUCUUAAUUUCAGGUUCCUUUUCUAUCUUCUUUUGUUUUCUUGUCUUGUUCUUUGGUGUUUGAUUUAAAAUAUAAUAAGAGUCAUGGUAAUCGUGUGUGAGAUUUAUUAGCACCUUUGGGUUAUUAACAUUUGUUCUUAAAAGAAUUGCAUCUAAAUGUUUGAUUUGGGCUGAGUUUUGCUUUUUGAACAAUGUUAGUUCUAUGUUCUUGCUGUUUGAUGUAGAAAUAGUCGAUAGGGACAAAAUAUUUGAAUCUCGCUGAAUGUCGCAUUAAUCUGCCUUGUCUCGUUCAGUAGUGCUUAGAUCUGUUGUUUGUGUUUGCUAGCUUUUGUUAAUUCGUAUAUAUAUCGUAAGCCGGCGUGUAUUCCGAAUCAUUCAUGAGUAGUUGAUUAGCAUCCAUGUUCUAAAGUUCAUUUUCGGGUGUUCCAACUACUUUCUUUUGGGCGUUUCUCAUCAUGUUUGCCUCUUUUUCGUUCACGAUGAUUGCACGCAGAAAUUGAUUUUGUGUCAUCCUUUUGAACAUGUCGAUUGUUUUGUAAAUAGUGACUGUAGUUUUUUUUAGUCUUCAACAAUGAUUGUAAUUCACUAAUUGGAAAAGUGUUCAUUUUUAUAAAAGUUAUGGGAUUUCUCUGUUGCUUCUUUGGAUUUGUGAAUUGUUUCUCCAUACAGUCAAUUUGGUCAUAAGUUUAGUAAAUCAUAAGAUGAGAUAGGUGCAUUGAGUUGGGACUAUUUAAAAGCAGGUUGUGAAUAAGCAUGAAUCUCAUAGUUUGCUUUAGGCUCGUAAUAAGAUUUUUACGGCAACAGGUACGGUUCCCGUGACGUAGUUGUGGUAUUAAAUUUCGAAUUAGCUUUAAAUAAAAUCUCAAAACGCAUGACCCUCAUUUAAUUCAUUUUGAUCCUUAGAAAUCGAGGCUACCAUUUAGUUGAACUUCCCAUGGCCCUCGCAAAGUUGAAGUGCAUAGUUGUUUUAGGCGCGUUAUUUUAAAAAAUUAAUUUCCUAAACUCGGGUGUGCAUUUCAUGUGACCAAAAUCCAAAUCUUAACAACGUUAAAUAAAACAUGUCGCGGAUCGCGGGUGCAUUUCAUGUGGCGUGGUUCAAGGCAUGUUUUAAAUAAUGUUGAAUCUUCCUAAAAUAAUUAAAAGCGGUUAAUAAGUUAAAAAUGCACCAUAGGCUAAAACAUGUAUUAAAAUCAGAUAAUAGGCCAACUAUAAUAGUUUAAGCGACCGUGCUAGAACCACGGAACCCGAGAAUGUCUAACACCUUCUCCCGGGUUAACAGAAUUCCUUACUUAGAAUUUUUGGUUUGUAGACUUCAAAAGGAAAGUCAAAUUUCAUCGAUUUGGGAUUAAAAAAAUAAAUCGGUGACUUGGGACACCAGUUAAAAUAUUCCAAGUGGCGACUCUAAAAAUAAAUAAAUAAUCUUAUUUCGAAUAAUGUCACUUAAAGUGGAAAAACUCUCUUAUACCCCUUCCCGGGGGUGUGGAAAAAGGAGGUGUGAUAACGCCUACCCUUGUUUAUUUGCCUUCCAUGUGAGAAUGGCUCUUUUGGGUCACGUGAGUUGUCAGUAUGAUUAUGAGGUGUGAUGAGGGCAUAGGAUGCCAAGUGUUAGGGUUUAGGUAUUGAGACCCGUAUUGUAUGAUUAUGAGAUGAGGUGUCACAGGGUAAAUUAUAUUCCAAGGGUAUUUAUUUGAAAAAAUUAUGUUCGAAAGGCAUUCAUUUUUAGAGAACUAUUUUUGAAAAAUAUUUACUUGGAGGAAGUAUAUUUUAUCAGCUGAAGGAUUCGACUAAUUGAUUGAAGUUUGUGGCUAUGGCCGAAUGUGAAAACUGUCGUAGUUACUGAGUUAUGACUUGUCUUUACUGUAUUUGUGAUUUCGGAUUUGGAUUGUAUUCCCGUUCACUUUCUAUGUUCUUAUUAUGGUGUUCCGCUGUCACUUGCUGUUUUCCUUCCUUAUUGCAAAAUUUUUGUAUUGUUAACCAUAUCUCGUAGUCUUUAUAUAGCUAUCAUGUUAUAUUAUUUUUGUACUUAUAUUUGUUCAGUUUAUUAGACCAGUAGGUGUCUUGACUAUUCCUCGUCACUAGUCCACCGAGGUUAGUCUUGACACUUACUGGGCACCGUUGUGGUGUGCUCAUACUACAUUUCUGCACAUUGUUGUGCAGAUCCAGGUAUUGUUCGAUAGUAGCUGUGCGGAUUCUUGCCGAGGAGACUCAAGGAAGCCUUGAUGUUGCGUUCGCAGGCCUCAGAGUCACCUUCCUAUUGUAUAUCCACACAGUUGUACUUAUUUACUUACAGUUGUGUUUAGAAGUUGUGGCGAAACUUUGUAGAGCUUAUGACUUGUACCGCCGGUUUUGGGAAGAUGUAUAUUUCAUAAAGAUUUCUAUGUUCGAAAUUGUUAGACUUUAUGUAUUAUGAUUGAUAUUCAGUAAAUGUUAGGCUUACCUAGUCCUUAAGACUAGCUUCCAUCACGAAACCCAAGGAAAGGGAAAUUGGGUCGUGACAAACUCCAAUAUUAAUGAUGAUGAUAAACCCGAGACAAACUAUCAUGGCAUUAAAGGCAUGAUUUAUACUUACUCAAAGAAUAAACUCAUUCAUUAUCUAGUGUCUUGAUUUAUGUAUAUCAACAUAUCUCUGUUGAAAAAGGAC
RNAcentral lists this long non-coding RNA (3366 nucleotides) under Nicotiana tabacum (common tobacco). RNAcentral describes it as "long non-coding RNA (NTAB_LNC005147)". The record is from RNAcentral. Lineage: Eukaryota; Viridiplantae; Streptophyta; Magnoliopsida; Solanales; Solanaceae.